GCCGUGUCUACGAUGUCCUAGUUGCUUUGGCGGGGGGUGAGCUAACGGGGAAGGUCACGGGAACCCGCCGAUUCGGGGUUCUGGAAAAAUAUCUGUCCCCUGCGCUUUUUAACUUUAUCCGUCACAUUCAGGCGAGAACCGUCGGCGCCGCCACGGAGGCGGAAAAGGACAAGGCGAUGGCGAUCGACGAAGAGCGCCGGGCUGCACUGAUGAGGCAGAUCACCGAGGAGGGUGGCUUCGCCUACGUCAGCUCGGCGGAGAAGGCGGCCGGCGGAGACCUCCGGGCUGCAGAGGCUGCGCGGGAGAUGGCGUGGGAGCAGCUCCACUCAGGGCCAUGGUAUGAGGUCGUUCCCGCUUGGCGAGACGCCUAUGCGAUGGCCUGCUUCCACGUGGCGGAGCUCCGGGCCGGCGCUGGCGACCGACGGGAAGCCCUCCGCGCCCUCGACAUGGGUCUUAUUAUGGGCGGCCCGCUGCUCCGUCGCGACAUCGACGCUGCCGUGGAGAGGAUCAUGGCGGAGAAGGGAGUGGAGGACGCGGCCGUAGACGAUGGUUGUGCUGACAUGUGGAUAAAGGGAAUAUCCGCAAACGGAGACCUGGCAGAGGCACUACGCAUCCUGCCACACAGAUCACUAUCGUGUAAGAAAGUUGAGAAACAAUUGUCUCUCUCUUUGGAGACAUUUAUAUGUGAUUAUUUUUUACGGGAUUCUCCAGUUAUAAUCAGUGGAUGCAUUGAUCAUUGGCCUGCACGAACAAAGUGGAAGGACAUGGAAUAUCUAAAGAGGGUAGCAGGAGAUCGAACUAUCCCUGUCGAGGUGGGAAAGAACUAUCUAUGUUCUGAAUGGAAGCAACAGCUGAUUACCUUUUCUCAAUUCCUUGAAAGGGCACAAUCAACUAAUUGCUCUUCCAACUUAACAUACCUAGCUCAGCAUCCUUUGUUUGAUCAGAUAAGGGAGCUCCGUGAUGACAUAAUGAUUCCAGACUACUGCUUUGCUGGUGGCGGCGAGCUUCGUUCUCUCAAUGCCUGGUUUGGUCCACUUGGUACAGUUACACCACUGCACCAUGAUCCUCAUCAUAAUAUUUUUGCUCAGGCAUAUUUGAAUGAGCUUAUUGAGCAGUUUGCUCCACUAGGACAGUAAUUUAUAUAUUGGGAAUUGCUCAAAAGGUGCACGUAGAGUUGGGAAUUGAUCAAAAGGCGCAUCAUACUUUCACUAAUUUAUCGGUCUUCCCGUUCUACCCGACAAAUAUGACUUUUUACUCUCUUUCCUCUCUUAUCGGCAUACAACUUUUCUCUAUCUCUUCUAUUUCCUCUCUCUCUUCUCUUUCAUCCAAUUAAACUUUUCUAUUUUUUCCUCCUUUACAUGCCCCAUGGAAGUUUAAUCUUGAAACACCUCUAGAGAACCCAAAAUAAGUAAUGGAGGAUACCUUUGGACUCCUUACAACCUCAGAAACCCAUAGGACUUGAAAUAGGUGCAAUUUGAACUCUCUAGGUCGAUCUUUAGACUGAAAUCCACUGAUGAACUUAGGCUAUUUGUAUUUUUGCAAACUUGCACCCAUCUGGUAGGGUUGAGUGAGAGGAAGGUAGAUAGAGUGUCAAACUUUGGUCCUGAUCAAAGGAACACUGUGAGUAUAGUGUGGGAAGACCAGGACCACGUUGGGCCUGGUAUGAGAGGAUUUGGUCCAACUUGAGCCUGAUCUGAGCAAAUCAGGCCCAUGUUGGUCUUGGUCUCUAGGAGACUAGACCCAAGUAUUCUAGCUAAAAGUUAGCAUAAUAAUGGAGCACCUUUAAGGAGCUCAAAAUAGGUAAUGGAGGGCAUCUUUGCCCAAGUAUUGCUCGAAAUAGGUAAUGGAGUGCACCUUUGCCCAAGUAUUCUAGCUAAAAGUUAGCAUAAUAAUGGAACACCUUUAAGGAGCUCGAAAUAGGUAAUGGAGGGCACCUUUAGACUCCUUGCAAAUUCAGAAAUCCACAAGACUUGAAAUGAGUGCAAUUUGAGUUCUCUAGGUUUAUCAGUGGGUUUUGACCAAAAUUCACUAAUGGACCUAAGCUAUUUGGAUUGCUACAAACUUACACUCAUCCGGUAAGGUUGAGUGAGAGGAAGAUAGAUAUGAUGUCAAACCUUAGUUCUGAUCAAAGGAACACUGUGAGCUUGGUUUGGGAAACCCAAAACCAUGUUGGGCCCGAUCCUCUCAUAUGAGGCCUAUAUUAGGCCUGCUCCUCUCAUAUCAAGCCCAAUGUGGUCCUGGUCUUCCCACACCAUGCUCACAGUAUUCCUUUAAUCAGCACCAAGGUUUGACACCAUAUCUACCUUCCUCUCACUCAACUCUACCGGAUGUGGUGCAAGUUUACAGAAAUCCAAAUAGCCUAGGUCUAUUUGUGGGUUUCAAUCAAAUCCCACUAAUCGACCUAGAUAGCUCAGAUUGCACUCAUUUAUGAUCUCGUGGAUUCUCCAUUACUUAUUUCAUUAUUUAUUUCGAGCUCCCCAAAGAUGCUUCAGUAUUAUGCUAACUUUUAGCUAGAUUACUUGAGUCUGGUCUCCUAGAGACCAAGACCAAUAUGAGCCUGAUUUGCUCAGAUUAGGCCCAUGAUCCUCUCAUAUCAGGUCGACGUUGGACCUGAUCCUUUCAUAUGAGGUCCAACAUGGUCUUAGUCUUCCCACACCAUGCUCAUAAUGUUCAUUUGAUCAGAACAAAGGUUUGACACCAUAUCUUCCUCUCACUCAAUUCUACCGGAUGGGUGCAAGUUUGUAGAAAUCCAAAUAGCAUGUCCAUCAGUGUGUUUCAGACAAAAUUCAUUGAUUGACUUAUAGAGCUUAGAUUGCAUCUAUUUUCGGUUUGGUGGAUUUUUGAUAUUGUAAGGAGUCCUCUAUUAUGUAUUUCAAGCUCUUGAUAUGUGCUUCAGGAUUAAACUUUCAUAGAACAUGUAAAGGAGGAAAAAACAAAAAGUUUAAUCGGAGGAAAGAGAAGAGAAAGGAAAGAGAAAAGAGAAUAAAAAGUUAGGUUUGAUAGGAGGGGUAGAGAAGGAAGAUAAGAUAAAUUAGUACGUCCUUUGAUAAUUAUCAUAAUAUGGUACAGCUUUUGGUGAAUUCCCAAUUUUGUGUGCGCCUUUGGACAAUUCUCAUUAAUAUAUAUCCGUCAGCAUCUUGUACCAAAUGUGACACCAGAACUUUGAGGUUAAUUCUCGGUAAUCCCAAUAUUUAUUGUUUCACUUGAUUAUCUUUUGUCAUCAUAAAAGGUAGUUGGCCGAAAAUAUGUAAGACUCUAUCCACCAUCAUCAUCGGAGCACUUAUAUCCCCAUACGGAGACCAUGCUUUGCAAUUCCAGUCAGGUAGAUCUUGACAACAUUGAUUUAGAAGAAUUUCCAGUGACGGCCGACUUGGAUUU
Molecule: RNA transcript, 3378 nt
Organism: Zingiber officinale
Lineage: Eukaryota; Viridiplantae; Streptophyta; Magnoliopsida; Zingiberales; Zingiberaceae
Gene name: lysine-specific demethylase JMJ30-like
Exons: 6
Source: RefSeq, a predicted model, not a curated record